UAUUAAAGUUGUAUGAUAUAAAUAACACAAUGAAUAAAAGAACGGACACAAAUAAUUUGAGCAUUUUGUAUAAUGAUAUUUUAAAGAAGUAUAAAUCUGAAAUAUAAUUAACUGUAUGGAAUUUUCCUGAAAACAAAUAAAAUUUUGAAAA
Long non-coding RNA from Melitaea cinxia (Glanville fritillary), 151 nucleotides. RefSeq lists it as uncharacterized. NCBI's taxonomy places the organism in Eukaryota, Metazoa, Arthropoda, Insecta, Lepidoptera, Nymphalidae. The transcript has 3 exons. The record is from RefSeq and is a predicted model, not a curated record.